CCCGGCCCCGGCCCGGCCCGCCGGCUGCGGGGUGGCGGCCGCCGCCGCUUCAGCGCUCCAUGGCCGCGCCGGGGCCCCUCACGGCGAAGCGGGGCCGGCGGGGAAGGAGGGAGCGCAGCGGGGCCGAGCGGAGCGGGGCCGGGCCGCACUCGUGACGGCGCCGCGCUCCGCCAGGAUCUGAGGUCAGGGGGGAGGAGGAGGGCCCGGCCCGCCCCGCAGCCGGCGCCCGCCUCCCGGAGCCCAGCGGUGCCGCCCCCGCCCCCAAAUGGCGGCCCCGAGGAGAACGGGGCGGGGGGCGAGGGGAUGAGGGGGGAGCAAGGGGCUGGUGCUGGGUCCCUGGCGGCCCUGCAUGAAGGGAGCGGACACGAGGGGAACGGUCGGGUAGUUGCUCCCCCCAAGCCCACCAGCAGCAGGAGAAACAGAAUCAGUGCACCGUGCAAGCCCCCAAAAGGAUCAGAGCUUGUGACUGCAGAUUCUCAGCACACAGGGAAGGAAGCGAGGGCUCUCCUGCUGAAUGGUCACGACCAGAACAAGUGUGUCUGCUGAUCUUGCAAUGCCAUUGCCUGUUCUCCAGAUGCAUGAGAUUUAAUGGUCAGAAACCUCAGUGCUCCUCUCAAGGCAAGUGCAUCUGUUUUUCAAGAUAAGGAAUUACUGGUCCAUGAAACAAAUGUUGCUACAGGUUUUGGAGGAGGAAAAUCCUCUUCUCCCCCUUUCCAAAACAAAGUGGGACAGCUUAGUGCUGCACAUGACACCUCUUUGCAUCAGUUCCUAUACCUCUUCUAUUAAAUGAUGCUAAGGGAAUGGAAUCAUUAAAAAGUAAUUUCUAAUUAAAAUUGACACAAGGAGCUUCAUAGGGAUAGAAAUACCAAAUUUUUGAUGUCCCAAGAGAUUAGUUUUUAGCUCCUGAAAAAAAAAUAUCUUCAAAUCUGUUUGAAAAUGAAAUCUGUACAUAAGAGACACAAGGAUUCCCUGUUCAUUUUUCCAGCAAAUAGUAUUGUGGCCAAGUGCUACAUUUUAUAUUAUAUAUUAAUAUAAUAUUAUAUAUUGUAUAUCAUACCCUACAUUUUAUAUUAUACCCUUCUACUUCCAAUCAAUGCCUGAAGAAAUCGACAACCUAUUUCUGUAGAAGGGGAACAUUUGAAUUUCUCAUGCCUGCUCUCAGCCUCUGCCAACUGCAACCAUUUUAACCAUCGAUUUCUACUCAUUAUAGUUCAAAUGGCAACAUUUAUGUUAAGGAAAUCCUAUUGACUUCAGAGAAAAUGGCCUGAGAAUGAUUUCAGUGCAGGGAUGGUGAUUUCAGAAAUACAGACAGACCAAUCAAGCAACAUUAUGAUAAAGUGUUUAUUCAUUUUUUUAAAUAUCAAAUUUUUACACAUCAAUUUUGUUGAUAAACAGUCCCCCAAUAUUAAAAAACAAAAAUCAAAAAAGAAUCAAGUGUGUAUUACUUUGGGCAGAACCACAUCCCAUUUUCUGAUGAUACAACCACACUUCCCUUCAGUCUGCAAGGACAACUGCAGUAUGUUCAGCCCAGAAGAGUAAAUGACACAAAUGCAACCAGCUUUAGGAUUCCUGAGUAUUGAUUCCCUCAAGUUCCUUAAGUGAGUUUGUAAAACUCUUAAGCUAAAAAGCAUCAGUCAAAGAGAAACCCAAACCGCUACACAUUUGGAUCACAGACUAAGCUACGUCUACACAGUGCAGGAAGAAAUCUCUUGAACGCUUCAUAAGGGAAUGAUAUACACAAAACCAACCCAAUUUCCCAAGCUGACCUCCGAGAGAGGCAGGCAAAAAGCCUCUUGGUUUCUCCUCUUUGAAUUCACAUUAGAGUUCUGGGGAGCUGUGUGGCAAGAAGUCCAAGUCUGGUGAAGAAACCUCUAGGAUAUGUUCCUCCUUUUACUGAUAAAUGCUAUAGUGUUUUAAGGAAAACUUACCAUCUGGAAGUUAAGCAUCCAACAAGUACACUUAAAUAUUGCUACUUUGGAGGAAAGGAGACAGCAGGAAAGAGGGAGAGACAAGGACAGAAAGAAAGGAACAUAUCUAGGAGGUACAAGGUUAACAGUCCUUGAGACCAAGUGUCUACAUAGAAAGUUAAACAUAAUUAGCAACAAGGCAGAGAUUGUCACAGUAAUACAGCACAGUGCAGCUCUGCUCAGCGGCCCGUAAACAUGUCUGUCACCAGGAAAUAUUUCCUCCUCGUGUCAGAUAGAUCUGUGCCCAGAGACUUUCAGAUGUUAUUUCACUGAACAUCACUAAACUUACCUAGAGCCUCAUUUACAGAAAUAGGCAUUCAGCAAGAAGCCCAAUAAAUUCCUUCAGUAUCUUUAAGGAAAGGAAUAC
Molecule: long non-coding RNA, 2334 nt
Filed under: Anser cygnoides (Swan goose)
Lineage: Eukaryota; Metazoa; Chordata; Aves; Anseriformes; Anatidae
Description: lncRNA (ENSACDG00005019027.1)
Source: RNAcentral